This 976-nucleotide long non-coding RNA is filed under the name Homo sapiens (human). Its description in RNAcentral is "HSALNT0059166". Lineage: Eukaryota; Metazoa; Chordata; Mammalia; Primates; Hominidae. The record is from RNAcentral.
CUUUUGAAGGGGGCAGGUUUACUGGUUAAUUGCUAAAUCACAUACAUAGAAGCACAUACACACAGAUCCAUAUUCUGCCUGGUCAAGAAGGAAACACUAAUUCUCAGAGGCAGAUCUUUCUAAAUAAGAGUUCUCAAACUAGUAAUCCACUAGCCUAAUUCAGCUCGCGUAUAUAUUUUAUUUGGCCCAUACAGUUUUUGUUUAUUUUUAGAAAUUGCACCAGCAUUAAAAACGGAUACAUUUGAUAUAAAAAUCCACAUUUCUAGCUUUUCUCAAAAAUAUAUUAAGAUCUAGAUCCACUAGACCUAUAAUUCUACAUGAGAAAAUUUGGCUAAGCUGAGUAGGGGCUGCCUUCUAUAGGCAAUGUGUAUGGUCUUCAUUCAGCCAUGGUCUCUACCAGUUCCUGUUACUGUCCCAGCAUGGAAGCCAUGCUAAUUAUUAGUCAUCACCGCAUUGUUUCUCUUAUCCAUAAGGAAAAAAAAUCCAUUUCUGUUUUCAAAAUCCAUAACUCUGAGCUGUGGGAAAUCAAUUAAAUGUUCUAAUUUUUUUCUAAGCCUGAUUAGUGGCAGUAACCGAGUUCAAAUUUGUCAUAUUUUCAUCCAUAACAAACUUGCAUUUUUGGACCAUAAAGUGAAAAUAAUAAAGAAGGAAUAAAACUGUAAAAACCCACCUGAUCAAAAUAAUUAUAAUUAUUAUUAACAAGGGGUAAAAAUGUAGAAAGACGUAUUUAUUGGAUAGAUGACCAUCACUAAAAAAAAAAAAAAAAAUUAACUCUCCAUGUACUAAAGCAAGAACAAAGCAUAUUCCAUUUUUUCCAAUUCAGAAUGCCCUUGAAGUAGAUUCUACAUAUAAGUAAUCAUGGACAAAUUAUAAAUUAGAAAAGUGAUGUAGGCUUCCUUGAAUAAAGAGAAAACAAAAUAGACGUUAUGUUUUCUCAAUUCUUAAGAUGUAAGUUGCCUAAUUGUGGCUGGGGGAG